AUUGAACGCUGGCGGCAGGCCUAACGCAUGCAAGUCGAGCGGAUGAAGGGAGCUUGCUCCUGGAUUCAGCGGCGGACGGGUGAGUAAUGCCUAGGAAUCUGCCUGGUAGUGGGGGAUAACGUCCGGAAACGGGCGCUAAUACCGCAUACGUCCUGAGGGAGAAAGUGGGGGAUCUUCGGACCUCACGCUAUCAGAUGAGCCUAGGUCGGAUUAGCUAGUUGGUGGGGUAAAGGCCUACCAAGGCGACGAUCCGUAACUGGUCUGAGAGGAUGAUCAGUCACACUGGAACUGAGACACGGUCCAGACUCCUACGGGAGGCAGCAGUGGGGAAUAUUGGACAAUGGGCGAAAGCCUGAUCCAGCCAUGCCGCGUGUGCGAAGAAGGUCUUCGGAUUGUAAAGCACUUUAAGUUGGGAGGAAGGGCAGUAAGUUAAUACCUUGCUGUUUUGACGUUACCAACAGAAUAAGCACCGGCUAACUUCGUG
This 484-nucleotide ribosomal RNA is filed under the name uncultured bacterium. Its description in RNAcentral is "partial 16S ribosomal RNA". It matches the Rfam family "Bacterial small subunit ribosomal RNA", at positions 30 to 507 of the family's 1533-position model. The record is from RNAcentral.